UACGUAGGGGGCAAGCGUUAUCCGGAUUUACUGGGUGUAAAGGGAGCGUAGACGGCGAUGCAAGCCAGAUGUGAAAGCCCGGGGCUCAACCCCGGGACUGCAUUUGGAACUGUGUGGCUGGAGUGUCGGGGAGGCAAGUGGAAUUCCUAGUGUAGCGGUGAAAUGCGUAGAUAUUAGGAGGAACACCAGUGGCGAAGGCGGCUUGCUGGACGAUGACUGACGUUGAGGCUCGAAAGCGUGGGGAGCAAACAGG
RNAcentral lists this ribosomal RNA (253 nucleotides) under uncultured bacterium. RNAcentral's name for it is "partial 16S ribosomal RNA". It matches the Rfam family "Bacterial small subunit ribosomal RNA", at positions 524 to 776 of the family's 1533-position model. The record is from RNAcentral.